AGCUCAGAUGAGACUCAAGUCCUGGGUGCAGCCUGGAAGUCUGAUUCCAGAGGAACAAAGAGACAAAUACCAACGCGGAUUCUGGCAGAGGGGAACAAUACAGGUGCCCAGCUGAAAGAGUCUUUAUCAGCACAAGACCAAAGAAGCUUCCAUUUGCUAUUAAGUUUUGAGUUGGGAACUCUAUUCAGAGAACAACUACUAUGAAAGCUCUACGUGACUCCUUCAGAUGCAAGAGUGAGGCCAGCUCAGCUGGGAUAAGCUCCUACUACAGAAAGAUAUACUGCCCCAUGGUUCAGAGACACAGAUACAGACCCACUUCAUGGCAGGAUGCUUACCUUGGAUGCUUACAUUUGGUGUCAAGAUGAAGGGGGGGGGGCCUUUCCUGGAUGUCACUGGAAUGCCACAGCAGGCCUGUAGAAGUCACAUUGCAGGAAAGAUGUUGGGCUUCCCAGGAGGAAAAGGGAAAGGGCUGGGGAUGAAAGAUCAAGCUCCCAGACCAUGAGGGUGAGACCCCUGAAAGCCGCCCUUUUGGAAACAACAUCCCCAGAAGAGAGAAAACUAAGGUAGAGGAAAUCCAAAAGUUGCAUGCUUUAUUUCAAGACCAAAGGUGAAGACUGCCACACAGGGAUGUGUCAUGCGAAUGCCUCUAGCCCAGCCUCCCAGGAGCUGCCAACCUGCUUCUGGGCAGCCGUGAUAACAUUCAGUGCAGACUGUCCACUGCUGGCCGAGGGCAUUUUGCUUGAAGAGGGUGUCCUUUUUGGGGAUGGGAAGAGAACAGUGUCUAAGCAAAACAUUUGAAGAGCAGUGAUGCAGAGCCUCUGCCUCAGAGUACAGCCACAGUGGGGCAGUGACAGGGACAGCCACCAGAAGCCUCCAGACCCAUUCACAACCAACCAGGAAGGGGUUGGGACUGAGGAUGACAACCCCGCCAUCAGCAUGUGUGCACAUAAGAGGAGAGGACACCAGCCCCCAGUGGAAACUGCAGAGUUUAGCAUCCCAGUACCAACAUCUUAUGUAUGAUAAUCUUGGCCUCCAACUGUCCCUCCUUUGGAGUGUGCGUGUGUUGAGGAGAAAGGGGUAGAUAGAUAUAG
Molecule: long non-coding RNA, 1091 nt
Organism: Symphalangus syndactylus (siamang)
Lineage: Eukaryota; Metazoa; Chordata; Mammalia; Primates; Hylobatidae
Source: RefSeq, a predicted model, not a curated record